GGUUCAGGAUGAACGCUAGCUACAGGCUUAACACAUGCAAGUCGAGGGGCAGCAUGGUCUUAGCUUGCUAAGGCCGAUGGCGACCGGCGCACGGGUGAGUAACACGUAUCCAACCUGCCGUCUACUCUUGGACAGCCUUCUGAAAGGAAGAUUAAUACAAGAUGGCAUCAUGAGUCCGCAUGUUCACAUGAUUAAAGGUAUUCCGGUAGACGAUGGGGAUGCGUUCCAUUAGAUAGUAGGCGGGGUAACGGCCCACCUAGUCUUCGAUGGAUAGGGGUUCUGAGAGGAAGGUCCCCCACAUUGGAACUGAGACACGGUCCAAACUCCUACGGGAGGCAGCAGUGAGGAAUAUUGGUCAAUGGGCGAGAGCCUGAACCAGCCAAGUAGCGUGAAGGAUGACUGCCCUAUGGGUUGUAAACUUCUUUUAUAAAGGAAUAAAGUCGGGUAUGGAUACCCGUUUGCAUGUACUUUAUGAAUAAGGAUCGGCUAACUCCGUGCCAGCAGCCGCGGUAAUACGGAGGAUCCGAGCGUUAUCCGGAUUUAUUGGGUUUAAAGGGAGCGUAGAUGGAUGUUUAAGUCAGUUGUGAAAGUUUGCGGCUCAACCGUAAAAUUGCAGUUGAUACUGGAUAUCUUGAGUGCAGUUGAGGCAGGCGGAAUUCGUGGUGUAGCGGUGAAAUGCUUAGAUAUCACGAAGAACUCCGAUUGCGGAGGCAGCCUGCUAAGCUGCAACUGACAUUGAGGCUCGAAAGUGUGGGUAUCAAACAGGAUUAGAUACCCUGGUAGUCCACACGGUAAACGAUGAAUACUCGCUGUUUGCGAUAUACUGCAAGCGGCCAAGCGAAAGCGUUAAGUAUUCCACCUGGGGAGUACGCCGGCAACGGUGAAACUCAAAGGAAUUGACGGGGGCCCGCACAAGCGGAGGAACAUGUGGUUUAAUUCGAUGAUACGCGAGGAACCUUACCCGGGCUUAAAUUGCAGAUGAAUUACGGUGAAAGCCGUAAGCCGCAAGGCAUCUGUGAAGGUGCUGCAUGGUUGUCGUCAGCUCGUGCCGUGAGGUGUCGGCUUAAGUGUCAUAACGAGCGCAACCCUUGUUGUCAGUUACUAACAGGUUCCGCUGAGGACUCUGACAAGACUGCCAUCGUAAGAUGUGAGGAAGGUGGGGAUGACGUCAAAUCAGCACGGCCCUUACGUCCGGGGCUACACACGUGUUACAAUGGGGGGUACAGAGGGCCGCUACCACGCGAGUGGAUGCCAAUCCCCAAAACCUCUCUCAGUUCGGACUGGAGUCUGCAACCCGACUCCACGAAGCUGGAUUCGCUAGUAAUCGCGCAUCAGCCACGGCGCGGUGAAUACGUUCCCGGGCCUUGUACACACCGCCCGUCAAGCCAUGGAAGCCGGGGGUACAAGAAGUGCGUAACCGCGAGGAGCGCCCUAGGGUAAAA
Molecule: ribosomal RNA, 1442 nt
Filed under: uncultured organism
Description: SSU rRNA
Rfam family: Bacterial small subunit ribosomal RNA
Source: RNAcentral